RNAcentral lists this ribosomal RNA (386 nucleotides) under uncultured bacterium. RNAcentral describes it as "bacterial SSU rRNA". It matches the Rfam family "Bacterial small subunit ribosomal RNA", at positions 28 to 417 of the family's 1533-position model. The record is from RNAcentral.
GACGAACGCUGGCGGCGUGCUUAACACAUGCAAGUCGAGCGGUAAGGCCCUUCGGGGUACACGAGCGGCGAACGGGCGAGUAACACGUGGGUGACCUGCCUCUAGCUCUGGGAUAAGCCUGGGAAACUGGGUCUAAUACCGGAUAUGACUCCACGGCGCAUGUUGUGGGGUGGAAAGCCUUGUGUGGCUAGAGAUGGGCCCGCGGCCUAUCAGCUUGUUGGUGGGGUGAUGGCCUACCAAGGCGACGACGGGUAGCCGGCCUGAGAGGGCGACCGGCCACACUGGGACUGAGACACGGCCCAGACUCCUACGGGAGGCAGCAGUGGGGAAUCUUGCGCAAUGGGCGAAAGCCUGACGCAGCGACGCCGCGUGAGGGAUGACGGCCU